GUGGAGAUGUACACAGAUGGGCAGUGGAAUGACAGGAACUGCCUGUACUCCCGACUGACCAUCUGUGAGUUCUGAGAGGCAUUUAGGCCAUGGGACAGGGAGGACGCUCUCUGGCCUUCGGCCUCCAUCCUGAGGCUCCACUUGGUCUGUGAGAUGCUAGAACUCCCUUUCAACAGAAUUCACUUGUGGCUAUUGGGACUGGAGGCACCCUUAGCCACUUCAUUCCUCUGAUGGGCCCUGACUCUUCCCCAUAAUCACUGACCAGCCUUGACACUCCCCUUGCAAACUCUCCCAGCACUGCACCCCAGGCAGCCACUCUUAGCCUUGGCCUUCGACAUGAGAUGGAGCCCUCCUUAUUCCCCAUCUGGUCCAGUUCCUUCACUUACAGAUGGCAGCAGUGAGGUCUUGGGGUAGAAGGACCCUCCAAAGUCACACAAAGUGCCUGCCUCCUGGUCCCCUCAGCUCUCUCUCUGCAACCCAGUGCCAUCAGGAUGAGCAAUCCUGGCCAAGCAUAAUGACAGAGAGAGGCAGACUUCGGGGAAGCCCUGACUGUGCAGAGCUAAGGACACAGUGGAGAUUCUCUGGCACUCUGAGGUCUCUGUGGCAGGCCUGGUCAGGCUCUCCAUGAGGUUAGAAGGCCAGGUAGUGUUCCAGCAGGGUGGUGGCCAAGCCAACCCCAUGAUUGAUGUGUACGAUUCACUCCUUUGAGUCUUUGAAUGGCAACUCAGCCCCCUGACCUGAAGACAGCCAGCCUAGGCCUCUAGGGUGACCUAGAGCCGCCUUCAGAUGUGACCCGAGUAACUUUCAACUGAUGAACAAAUCUGCACCCUACUUCAGAUUUCAGUGGGCAUUCACACCACCCCCCACACCACUGGCUCUGCUUUCUCCUUUCAUUAAUCCAUUCACCCAGAUAUUUCAUUAAAAUUAUCACAACUGUUACUAUACACAGAGGCUAUUGACUGAGCACCUAUCAUUUGCCAAGAACCUUGACAAGCACUUCUAAUACAGCAUAUUAUGUACUAUUCAAUCUUUACACAAUGUCACGGGACCAGUAUUGUUUCCUCAUUUUUUAUAAGGACACUGAAGCUUGGAGGAGUUAAAUGUUUUGAGUAUUAUUCCAGAGAGCAAGUGGCAGAGGCUGGAUCCAAACCCAUCUUCCUGGACCUGAAGCUUAUGCUUCCAGCCACCCCACUCCUGAGCUGAAUAAAGAUGAUUUAAGCUU
Molecule: long non-coding RNA, 1222 nt
Filed under: Homo sapiens (human)
Lineage: Eukaryota; Metazoa; Chordata; Mammalia; Primates; Hominidae
Description: HSALNT0165109
Source: RNAcentral